This 467-nucleotide ribosomal RNA is filed under the name uncultured bacterium. Its description in RNAcentral is "bacterial SSU rRNA". It matches the Rfam family "Bacterial small subunit ribosomal RNA", at positions 328 to 793 of the family's 1533-position model. The record is from RNAcentral.
AGUCCAGACUCCUACGGGAGGCAGCAGUGAGGAAUAUUGGUCAAUGGCCGAGAUCCUGAACCAGCCAAGCCGCGUGAGGGAAGACGGCCCUAUGGGUUGUAAACCUCUUUUGUCAGGGAGCAAAGGGCGCCACGUGUGGCGCUUUGCGAGUACCUGAAGAAAAAGCAUCGGCUAACUCCGUGCCAGCAGCCGCGGUAAUACGGAGGAUGCGAGCGUUAUCCGGAUUUAUUGGGUUUAAAGGGUGCGCAGGCGGAAUGUCAAGUCAGCGGUAAAAAUUCGGGGCUCAACCCCGUCGUGCCGUUGAAACUGAUGUUCUUGAGUGGGCGAGAAGUAUGCGGAAUGCGUGGUGUAGCGGUGAAAUGCAUAGAUAUCACGCAGAACUCCGAUUGCGAAGGCAGCAUACCGGCGCCCAACUGACGCUGAAGCACGAAAGCGUGGGUAUCGAACAGGAUUAGAUACCCUAGUAA